Long non-coding RNA from Xiphias gladius (swordfish), 1105 nucleotides. RefSeq lists it as uncharacterized. The record is from RefSeq and is a predicted model, not a curated record. NCBI's taxonomy places the organism in Eukaryota, Metazoa, Chordata, Actinopteri, Istiophoriformes, Xiphiidae. The transcript has 4 exons.
CCCCCCCCCGGAGGGAAGGCCACCGCCACACGCCGUCGGGGGCCACCAGCUCGACGAGGAGACACACGGGAUAGCAAGCUCGUCCUCCUCAUCCUGGCGUCCAUGCCCUUCCUCUCUGAGGCCUGUUUAAUUCAAAUGAGGGCAGCGGCGGGACAUUCCUCUGAGGACCAGCAUUUCCUGCUUGACUGCACCACCGCAGACAAAGUAUGAACACAGGAGAAGAGGCGGGAGAGGAGCCUACGAAGGUGGAACUUAAUCCAUCUGAAAAUUCUGUCAGAGACGGUGGGUGAUAGACGCAGAGAAUAUCUAUCAAUCUGAUGAGAUGUCCCAACGUACUGCCAAAUGAGCCAUCCUCUGCACUGCGGGGCAAGAGGGGGAGUGAAUGCAAUUUGAAACACAGGCACAGCAGAGUACAUUCAGAAGUUCUAAUGAGCCUCUGUCUCCAGACUGUCCAUCAGCCCUGACUGGCACACAUCGAAGUCAGACCUGUAGCACUUCAUCUCUUUAUCAUCCAAAAUUCAUCGGUGACUGAAGACAGCCAGGAGGGGGGACCGGGCACUUGUGAUCAGUUAUGUUGCCCUUAUUAAUUCACAUAUCUUGUCACGUGGAAACAGAUAUCAGGGUUAGUCCCAUGUGUUCAUCUCUGCUGUUGCAAUUGUCGAUAUCGAAGCCUCAGCUUUUAGUCUCAGAGCACUGAACAAACCGGCAAAAGCGUAAGAAUUCUUUGGCGCAGCAACGCUGAAAGAAAGCUCGCUAAAAUGAUUCUGAAUAAGCGUUCCGAGCCACCCAAAAAUAAUUAUAGAUCCAAAAACCACAAGUUGUUGAGGGUGAGUGGAUUCAAGGUUGGGCUUUAAUUGCUGUUAUUUGACGGGGAAAGCGCUAGAUGGCGCUACAAAGCUGUGCAUAAAAAGCAGACUAACGGAAGUUUGAAAGAUACUGGCUUUAGUUUACUCCUCACUGUAAUUUCAUGAAACAGGAAGCACUUUGACAUUCUAGACACGGAUAAAAUAAAUUGAAAAAACUAUCUUAUCAAUGUUUAUCUUUUUCUUCUAACGCAGUUAAAAGGAUCCGGGCGCAUCGAUACGCACGCUACCAUGUAUGACUG